This 77-nucleotide transfer RNA is filed under the name Bacilli bacterium. RNAcentral describes it as "tRNA-Met". It matches the Rfam family "tRNA". From Rfam's summary of the family: Transfer RNA (tRNA) molecules are approximately 80 nucleotides in length. Lineage: Bacteria; Bacillati; Bacillota; Bacilli. RNAcentral also lists the same sequence under 1 other name. The record is from RNAcentral.
GGCGAUGUAGCUCAGUUGGCUAGAGCAACCGGUUCAUACCCGGUAGGUCGUGAGUUCGAAUCUCUCCGUCGCUACCA